AGAUUUUAAGGGAAUGAGGUUCUCCCGUGGAGUAUUCCAAAAGCGCAUUUUGCUGAUGACUUCUGUGUAAAA
Molecule: non-coding RNA, 72 nt
Filed under: Clostridium sp.
Lineage: Bacteria; Bacillati; Bacillota; Clostridia; Eubacteriales; Clostridiaceae
Also listed under: 1 other name
Description: Fluoride sequence
Rfam family: Fluoride riboswitch aptamer (crcB RNA motif)
Source: RNAcentral